Cryptococcus sp. DSM 104548 is the source of this 161-nucleotide non-coding RNA. The record is from the annotation of a GenBank genome assembly.
CGACGGCCAUAGCCUCCUUGAAGUACCGCGUCCCGUCUGAUCCGCGAAGUCAACUAGGAGAGCGCUCGGUUAGUACCAGGGUGGGGGACCACCUGGGAAUCCCGGGUGCCGUCGUUUUUGCCUUUUCGUUGGUUGGUUGAGAAAGUCGCUGCCACUACGUC